CUGUUUUCCUCUCCUUCUCUUUGUCGAUCUCAGUUCAGAAGAAUUGAGUUAUUUUUGUGUGAGAUAAUCAUAGAAAGUUAGGUAGUGGGAUAAAUUGAAGAAGAUGAUGUUAGAACUGAAGUUGGUUGAACUCGAGAGAAGAAGAAACUGAUGUUGUUGUAGUUGAAAUUAGGGUUUUGGGUUUGAUUUCGAGUUCUAAGGUGAAUCGAUGGGUUAAUUGGACUAUUGAUAGAUGAAGAUUAUGAGGGUUGGUGUUUAAUUGAAGUUUUGAAGCUGUUCUGGUGAUUAAUCAUAAAACAGGAAAUUAGAGUUCACCCCGUUCUUCUUCAAUUUGGAAUUAAGGUUCCUGAGUUAGAGAAUUUAGUUCUUUAGUAAGAUGCAGAUGUUGCUGGUAGAGAUGAAGGUUGAAUCACUGGUAGAGUUGUUGUUGCGGGGAAUAUAUGUAUGAACUGAGAAAUGGUGUGUGGAUGGUGUUUAAGUUUUAGUUAUGAAUUUCUAGGUUGAACUGCAGGUGAUGAUGCUUAGCUAGAUAGUCUGAGUUAAGUUAGAGUCGCAAUCCAUGAGCUGUUGAGAUGACAAUAUUGAACUUGUACUGAACUCAAGAAGUGAAGAUGUAUAAGAGAUGCAGGUAUGAACACAUGAAGUCAAUGAAUUUGAAAUGAAUUGCAGAUGUACAACAUAAAUGUUCUGUUGAUGUUCAUUGUGUUAAACUGAUAAAGAGGAAUUGAUCUCAGUUGAGAUAGUUUAAAUUGAAAAGAAAUAACAUAUGGGAGAAGGAUGUUUGGAACAAAAAUUGUUGCAAGAGGUGUUGAUGAUGUUGCUGCUGUGGUAUUGUGGAGAUACAAGGGAUAUGAAGCUACAAUUACAAUGAAGUAAUGGCUUGGCAGUGUAACUAUAUUGAAGAUUUAGGCUAUGGAGUGAACUGGAGAUGAUUUUUUCAAUGUGUUGGUGAAUGCAGAUGUUUAUGUUGCUGUUGUGAUGUUGUUCAGUUGUUAGUGUAUUGAGAUUGCACGUGUAGUGAACUGAUGUUGGUGGUUGUGUAUCGAGUUGGAAAUAGUGGUGCAUCUGAAGUUGCAGGUGAUGUUAUUUUCCACAGAUUGAUGACUGAGUAUGAAGUUGGGGAUUAAGGGUUAUGUGGUUGCAAAUAUUGCAGGCUUGAAGUUGUUUGUGUCUUCAGUUGAAAGCAAGGACUUGAUUGUGUUAUUGCAAUUAGAACUGUGGUUGAAAUUUAGAGGAAAUGUAAUGAGAUUAAGCCAGUGUGUGGAAUUGGAGCUGCACAUGGUUGUGGUUUAGGUUUGUUUGAUCUACAGGGUUAAUGCUUGUUGGUAAUGAAGCAGAAAUGAGGUUAUGGUACUGUUAUUGAACUGACAGAAGACUUUGAAGAAUGUUUUGUGAACAUAUGAAGGCUGAACUGAUGUUUUGGGUAUAUUUAAAGUUGAGUUGCACUA
Papaver somniferum (opium poppy) is the source of this 1448-nucleotide long non-coding RNA. RefSeq lists it as uncharacterized. The record is from RefSeq and is a predicted model, not a curated record. NCBI's taxonomy places the organism in Eukaryota, Viridiplantae, Streptophyta, Magnoliopsida, Ranunculales, Papaveraceae. The transcript is spliced from 2 exons.